UUAGUUGUCCCCUUUGAGCUUAAUCCUUUUUAUUGGCAACCACAUUACAAGCCUUAUCCUUUUUGAAAAGGUAACCCUCUUUUGAACCCUUCCCUCCUUGAACUUGAGGUUGUGAAAGUUGAGGCUAAAAGCCUAAGUUGGGGGUGUUAUGGGAAAUUUAUUGAAGGGGUGUUUACUAAUGAAGGCAUGAUAUAAAAAAAAUAAAAAAGAAGAAGAAUGAAAUUGAGGGAUGGAUGGAAAAAGAAAGAAAGAAAAUGAAUAAAUGAGUCUUGAAUCCUCCAAAAGUUGAAAAUGGCUGCAUGUGGAGCAUCUAAAGUGGAAAUAAAAAAAGAAAAAUGAAAAAUAGUGUGGAAUGUGCAUGGGUUUGAAAAAUGGAGAAUGUUGGAAAUGAUGAGUUGUUGUGUAGUGUUCAAGGAGGGUGUAGUCACUUAUACCUAAAUUAUAUCCUAACCUUCCCUAAGCCUAUAUUACAAGCUUAACAAAGUCCUUUGAGAUUUCUAACCAAAUGGAGUUUAGUCAAUGUUGAUUGAAAAUAUGGGCAAGCCUAUGGUGUGACAUUUGUGUGCAUGAGAUAAUUCUUUGUGAGUGUGAGUGUUGCAUCUUUGUCCCUUGUCUUGUUUAUGCAUGUUUGGUUUCGGGACACUUCUUUCUUCUGAGGGCAUGUAAGUUUAAAAAGUGGUGAUUUUGAAGAUUCCUAAUUAAGUCAAGUGAGCAUGUGAAAGAGUUAAUGAGUUGAGUCAUUUCUUGAGUUUGGGUUGUUGCCACUUAAAUGAUUCUUGAUUUUUGAAAAUGUUUCAUGAGAAUGAGAGGAUUCUUUUAUGAAAAAUUUGCAUGUGGACUAAUUGUUAUUACCAACCAAAGCCAUUACCUUUGUGCUUAAUUGAGAAUGGGAAAUUGAUUUGUGGUGUAUCUUGAAAUACGAGUCUCUUGUGUUUUAGAUUUUCUUGACCUGAGGAAAAACAAAGUUUCUAAGUUGGGGGGGUUGAUGAGUGGUUGAUUUCCACUCAUUUGAGGCUCUUUUGGUUGUUAUUUUGUCUUUUAGUUUAUAAUUGGUGCUUUUAAUGUUUUUUUUUCAUAUUUGCACGUAAAUGAAAUGGAGGUUCUUAGAAAAUGUUGAAGGUGCAGGGUUAGCACCAUUCAAUUAUUAGCUUUGUUUUAGAGGAAUCAAAACAAUGGCAGAAAAUGCUUCCACCGUCUUCAAUGUUCACGUGCCGGAGUUUGUGGAUGCUAUUUGGGUUGCUCUGAGGGAUCCAACGUUGGCUGUUCGGGAGAAGGCUGUUGAGACAUUGUGUGCCUGCGUUCGUGUUAUUGAAAAGUGUGAGACAAGAUGGUGUGUUCAGUGGUAUGUCUAUUUCUCUCUCCUCCCUUAUAGUUUUUUAGAAAAUGUCAUUAACAUUUUAACAAUAUGUAAAAGAAUGUAUCAAUCACAAAUUUCUUGAUCCAAGGCAUCUACUCUUAAAUUGGUGAUUCGACAGGUAUUAUUGAAUGGUUAAGCCUACCCAAGAUGGAUCGGGUUGAAACGCUCAUGUUCAUAGUAUACAUUGAUCUUUUCUCGCAGUUGGGGAGCUGCUAAGGUUUGUUAUCAAAUUGCAUCACAUUAUUUAUUUCAUUGUAGGAAAAUAUUUCAGAGUCUCUUGUGUUGUGUUAAAUUGUUGUGAUCUGCUGAAUGUCUGAGGAACUGGAUACUUAUCUCCUGUUUUACUAGUGAUUUUGAAGUUGAAACUUGAAUAUUUGAAGUUGUGAUUUUCGGACAUGCAUUUUACUUGGAAAAGAAUUGAAGUUUUGUAAAUAGAAGUCCCUAAAAUGCAGAACUUUGAUUUUUUUGGAGGUAAAUGCUAGCUUAAAAUCUCUAGUUAUAUUGUGAGGACUUAAGUACCUCAAGGUUGACGACAUUACAUAUGUGUUUGGGUGCGAAUGCCUACUACCUAUUUGUUUUCUUUUAUAAAGUAAUUAUUAAUGAGGGUAAGAACUCCUGGAUGCAAACCAUAUACCAAAAGGUGUCUACUACCUACUUGCUCUUAUUAGCAAUUGUAUCUAGAAGGCAUUUGUGAUCUAUAGAUUGAUUAAUGAUCUAUGGGGCAAUCUGGGUGUUUCAGUCAUUUAUAGAAACCUAUUUGAGUAUGGUGAGCCGUGGAUAUAAUGCCUUCAGAAUAGGCGCGAGUGAGUGUGAGUCAGUGUUCUUCAUUUCAGUAUUAUGAAAGGCCAUAAACUUGUCCACCAUGAGUAGUUUCAAAAUUCUACUUAUCAGAAAAAAAAGAAGGGCCAAGUCUAAAGAAUUUAUAGAACUUCAAAGUAACCGGAGUGUCUUUUACCUUUAGAGUUUGUGUUACUUCUUAGCUAUUGUUACUGUUAAUCUUGAAAGAUCCCGAAUACAAUAUUUAGCAUGAGAUAUUGGAUGUAGGUCCUGAAUGGUUAAGUAGGCGAUUUAACAAAGAAUAUGUUAUCUCAUUAUCUUUAUAUUUUGUUGAAAAACCUUUCGCGUCUAUACUGGUGAACGGAUAAAUUGCAUUUAUAAAAGGAGUGCAAGUAUAAUUGGAGGGUAUAAUUGAUUUUUAACCAAAAAGAAGAAGUGAGGAAUGUAGACUUUAUUCUGACAAAUCUUUACGUUGGGUAACUUGUACUCUAUAUCUAGAGCAUGACCAGAUGCAGAUUUAACCAAAUGAGUAGUUUUUUGAAAAUACUUUGUAGGCACUAAACCUUCAUGAAUACAGCUAACAUCUGCAACGCUAUCAAUCAUGGCAAUGUUAGUAAUCGAAAAACUGUUAUAAAUUAAAAUAGUACAUUUAAUAUACCAUUUAUGAGCCGUGACAAUUUGCAUCAUUCCUAAAAACAUAUCUUGUUUAGGAUCAGGAUUAACAGGUUGAUCUUCACCUUCAGCUUGUUUUCCUUUGUUUUUUGAAAACCGAUCUUCGAUUCUGAGUAAUACGGUGAUCACAAAUCAAUUGAUUUUGUUUGAGAGAUUUAAUUUCCCUUUUCAGAUUCUCGACUUCAAUUUUUAAAUCAUCGAAAGAAGAAUCUUUUUCAGAAAAAGAAUUUCUUUUUAAAAGACGAUCAUCAACUUCUUUUAAAGAAUAAGGAGCAGAAUAUUCAAAAUCAUCAUUUUUCUUAUUUUCAAAAGGUUUUGAAGAACUUGAACUGGCUUCAUUAGUAACCAAAUUAAUAAUUUUUUCACGAAGCUUACUAUUAGUAAUUUCCUUCAGAAGUUCAAUCACAUUAUCAGAAGUAAUUGUAUUCACAUUUAAAUCUUGAAAUAUGCGACGGUAGCACACAGAUUCCUCUAUCUGUGUUUUUAACACUUUUGCAGAUAAUCGAACAUAGAUUUGGUUGAAACUUUGAAUAGAAGUUUUUGAAGUUGGAGUUGUAUUGGACAUGUAUCGCACUUGCAAAAAGUUGAAGUUCAAUGAGUUGAAAAAAUAUUCACUGAUGUCAAACUUGAAAAACUCAUCUUCAAAAAGUAACCAAAAAAUCAUUCCAAUGCAUAACCAAACAAUGUUUUGAAAAUAAAUUUUGGGAAAAGGUAAAAACUUUCAAAGUGAAAAAGAUUCUAGGAUAGUUGUUGGUUUGUGACGGAGCGGUUUGCCUGUCUCUGAGGUGCUAGUGGGGUGAAGGGAAGGUUCUUAGGUGAUAGAUGGCUGCAUGAAGAGGGUGAUGGUCGAGGUACCUCUACUAGCAAUUGGAGGACAGUUUUUUCUUUGCUGUAUUGCCAUGUAUUUAGUUAUGCUAAUAAGUUCCAUGACUACUUUAGUUUCACGCAUUUAUGUGCCUUUUGUUUUAGUCUCCUUCACAAAGAAUAAUGUUAUAUGGUCUCAAUUCAUAUGCUAUGGGAAUUGGACCCACUAUUAUUUCUUCUUGUGAUAUGAUACGAGCUAAUUUAUCAUCAAAAUGUGCAGGAACACAGGGGAGUUCAUUAUGUCAAGAUACAGGGAGGUUGCUGAAAUUGUUCUAAGAUACCUGGAGCACCGAGAUCGCCUAGUUCGCCUCAGCAUAACUUCUUUACUUCCUCGAAUUACCCAUUUCCUGCGUGAUCGAUUUGUACUAACUAUUUAACGGUUUGUGACAUUUGACUUCAUUUUAGUGAUUUAAUCUGCCUUUACUAACCGGGAUAUCUAAAUGAAUUAAAUUUGCAUCUUCAAUGUUAACUACUGUAACCUCAAGUUUGUUUAUUUUACUUCUACAGAUAUGCAUUAAUCAUAUACCUCAUGUCCUUAAAAUACCUGCAGAAUGUGCCAGUGGGUUCCUUGCUCUUGGGGAGAUGGCAAGUUCUCUAGAUGGUGAACUCAUUAACUAUUUGGCGACAAUAACCUCUCACUUGGGUGAUGUGGUAUGUUAUUUAUGUCAUUGCAGAUGUACUUUUUUUUGUUGGUGAUAAACGUAAUGUUGUAUUCCUCAGUAUUAAGGCUAUGCCGGCAACCUCUAAAAGAUGUGCCCAUAAAUUAAACAAGUAAGAGUAAAAACAGAAGAAGAAAAAACUAAAUACUUACAAAAGCACCAUAAAAUCUACUCAUCAUUCAUCUACUAGUACACCUUUACACUAAAAGUAUGAUGUAUUGAAGCAGAUUUCUUUGAUUGUCUGAACAGGGUUGGUACUAUCCUAAAAAUGUCUAUUGUUUCUUUUCUUCCAAUAGAGUUCUUGAAUCCUAAGGUUCUUUGAUUUCUUCUCUUUCUUUCAAUUAUUUUGUUGAAAAUUGUGGAGUUGGAACAUUUCAGGGAAUCUUGAUGUUGUUCUUUAAUCAUUUGUUGAAUUGGUAAGGAAGUGGAGCCAGACGUGAUUUUCAUAUUGAUAGGAUUGAGGGAAAUUAAGGAUGUAAGACUGUUCAAGAUUUUAGAUAACUCCCAAGUCUUUCUUCUGUUUCAGCCUUUGAAGGUAAGCAAGGUGGAUCAGAGGACGACUAUUUUUAUCUUACACAACUUUAAUUAUUAUUGUGGGUUUCUAUAUGUUUUUUUUUAUCCAGUUUGGUAUCAUGACGCGAUAUUGAAGUGACUGUUCACUGUUUUGUAUACAAGAUUCCUCUUAUAUGCCUCUUGUUAAUUAUUCUUAUUCACUUUCCCCUCCAUCAAUCAAGAGAGAUGGAUAGGUCCUGGUUUUAAAUUUAUAUCAAUCAUGUUGGCGAACUUUUUGGUUUGAAUAAUUAUGUGAAUACCAGGUUUUGUUUGUGUUUGUUUUCAUUCACCUUUCCUGCUUUAUUUUUUAUUAAAGGGUUAGCUGUGGGUUUCUGUCUUAAUCAUAUAACAUUCUGUUUUUGCCGAAUGUUGCUGUUUGAGUUUGAAUGCUAUUGGAUGAUCUCUCUCUGCCUCUUUCCAUUCUUCCUAGUUCCCUCGUCUAAAGUUCUCUUUUAAAUACUUGAGUUGCUUGUGAACCAUGCCAGAAAUCUUAUUUUAAUUUCUUUGGUAGGAGGGGGGCUGCAUUGGUUUUGAGGCAGCUUGUAGAGGAAGAAGCUUGUGAUCUUAGUGGAGAAGGUUUUGCUCAUUUUAUGGAUCAUCUAUAUGAACGCAUUACCACAUUUCUUGAUAGUAAUGAAGUUUCUGAGAAUCUCGGUGCAUUGAGGGAUAUUGACGAGAUAAUAGAUGGCACCAUCAGCGAAAAUGCAUCAAAAGUGACACAAUUCUCCAAUUACAUUCGCGUUGCUUUUGAAACAAAGUGUGAUCCUGAAAUCUUGGUCCUUUGCUAGGUUCUUGGUCAAAAGUUCAGGGAGUUCCUCGUAUUCUCUUUUGAUAUUUGCACUGUGAGAACACAAUCUCAUUUUCUGUUGGGGGUGCCUCCCUUGUAGUCAUUUAGUUGAUUGUUUCUGCAUAUAGUGAUUGUGCCCUUGUCGGACGUACCUUUCUUUCUUUGUUAUGGAUUGGUGUGCCCUUGUCAGGAUUUGAUAUUGUGAAUGUUUAUGUUGAUAUUGUGUUGGAUUGGUCUAUUUUAGUUUUGAUACCUAGUUUGUAGCUUCUUUGUUUUUGUUUUGAUAAAAAGAUUUGGAUUGACGAUGCCCGAUGAUGGAUAGAGCGUGACGACUUUCUUAAGGGUAAAUCGUCGAUUGCUUGUGAGUAUUUGAUUGACGUUGAUUUGAGUAGUUCACGAAUAGAUGCAUGAGGUUGUCUUUUUGUAACUUUUGAUUCGUUAGCAGUUAAAAUGUUCAAUGCUACUUGUAUUUUCAAAAGGAAGUAAGAUUUUGAACCGUCUUGAUUGAUUUGCAGGCCAUGUGUGGUGAGUUAUUGCAUAAUGCCUUGUGUUUGCUUUUGUCACCUAGAACUUGUCCGGUUGGUCUUGAAAUAUUGGUCUUGAAUGAAUUUGGUUGGAGAAAUGAUCUUAGGCUUUCUUUAAUAUCUUGGAGUCCACUUGGCCUAAAAAUCUCACCUUUGUACUAAAUAUAUCCUUAGUUGUCCCCUUUCAGCCUAAUCCUUUUUAUCGGCAACCAUAUUACAAGCCUUAUCCUUUUUGAAAAGGUAACCCUCCUUUGAACCCUUCCCUCCUUGAACUUGAGGUUGUGAAAGUUGAGUCUAAAAGCCUAAGUUGUGGGCGUUAUGGAAAAUUCGUUGAAGGGAUGCUUACCAAAUGAGGGCAUGGUGUAAAAAAAAAAAUAUAAAGAAGAGAGAAAUUGAGGGAUGGAUGGAAAGUUUUAAAGAAAGAAAAAGUUUUGAAAAAGAAAGAAUGAAAAUGAAUAAAUGAGUCUUGAAUCCUCCAAAAUUUGAAAAUGGUUGCAUGUGGAGCAUCUAAAGUGGAAAUAAGAAAAGAAAAAAUGAAAAAUAGUAUGGAAUGUGCAUGGGUUUUAAAAGUGAAGAAAAGUGGAAAAAGUUGGAAAUGAUGAGUCGUUGUGUAGUGUUCAAGGAGGGUGUAGUCACUUAUACUUAAAUGAUAUCCUAACCUUCCCUGAGCCUAUAUUACAAGCUUAACAAAGUCCUUGGAGAUUUCUAACCAAAUGGAGUGGAGUCAAUAUUGAUAGAAAAUAGGUGACAUUUGUGUGCAUGAGAUGAUUUUUAGUGAGUGCGAGUGUUGCAUCUUUGUCCUCGUAUUGUUUGUAUGUGUGGUUUCGGGAUACUUCUUUCUUGUGAGGGCAUGCAAGUUGAAAUAUUAAUGAUUUUUCUUAAUUGAGUCAAGUGAGCUAAUGAGUUGAGUCAUUUCUUGAGUUUGAGUUGUUGUCACUUAAAUGAUUCUUGAUUUUUUAUAAUGUUUCAUGUGAAUGAGAGGAUUUCUUUUGUGGAAAGUUUUCAUGUGGACUAUUUGUUGGUACCAACCGAGGCCAUUACCUUUGUGCUUAAUUGAGAAAUGGAAAUUGAUUUGUGGUGUAUCUUGAAAUAAGAAUCUCUUAUGUUUUUUGAUUUUCUUGACUUGAUGAAAAACAAACUUUCUAAGUUGGGGUGUUGAUUUGUGGUAGAUUUCUACUCAUUUGAGUCUUUUUUUCGUAGUUAUUUUGGCUUUUAGUUUAUAAUUGUUGCUUUUUGAUGUGGUUUUGCACGAAAAUUAAAUGGAGAGUUCGUACAAAAUGUUGAACGUGCAGGGUUAGCACCAUUCGAUUGUUGGCUUUGUUUUAGAGGAACCAAAACAAUGGAAGAAAAUGCUUCUACCGUCUUCAAUGUUUCACGUGCCGGAGUUUGUGGAUGCUAUUUGGGUUGCUCUGUGGGAUCCAAUGUUGGCUGUUCGGGAGAAGGUUGUUUAGACAUUGCGUGCCUGCCUU
Molecule: long non-coding RNA, 7661 nt
Filed under: Solanum tuberosum (potato)
Lineage: Eukaryota; Viridiplantae; Streptophyta; Magnoliopsida; Solanales; Solanaceae
Description: long non-coding RNA (STUB_LNC010751)
Source: RNAcentral